This 377-nucleotide ribosomal RNA is filed under the name uncultured bacterium. Its description in RNAcentral is "bacterial SSU rRNA". It matches the Rfam family "Bacterial small subunit ribosomal RNA", at positions 524 to 898 of the family's 1533-position model. The record is from RNAcentral.
UACAUAGGUGGCAAGCAUUGUCCGGAAUGACUGGGCGUAAAGGGAGUGUAGGCGGUAGAGCAAGUUAUUUGUGAAAGCCCUCGGCUUAACUGAGGAAAUGCAAGUAAAACUGCUCUGCUUGGAGUAUGGGAGAGGAAGAUGGAAUUUCUAGUGUAGCGGUAAAAUGCUUAGAUAUUAGAAGGAACACCGGAGGCGAAGGCGGUCUUCUGGCCCAAUACUGACGCUGAGACUCGAAAGCGUGGGGAGCAAACAGGAUUAGAUACCCUGGUAGUCCACGCCCUAAACGAUGAAUACUAGACGUAGGAGGUAUCGACUCCUUCUGUGUCGCAGCAAACGCAAUAAGUAUUCCGCCUGGGUAGUACGGCCGCAAGGUUGAA